ACGUAAUAGAUACCCGGGUAGUCCACGCCCUAAACGAUGUCUACUAGUUGUCGGGUCUUAAUUGACUUGGUAAACGCAGCUAAACGCGUGAAAGUAGACCGCCUGGGGAGUACGGUCGCAAGAUUAAAACUCAAAGGAAUUGACGGGGACCCGCACAAAGCGGUGGAGUGAUGUGGAUUAAUUCGAUGCAACGCGAAAAACCUUACCUACCCUUGACAUGUCAGGAAUCCUGGAGAGAUCUGGGAGUGCCCGAAAGGGAGCCUGAACACAGGUGCUGCAUGGCUGUCGUCAGCUCGUGUCGUGAGAUGUUGGGUUAAGUCCCGCAACGAGCGCAACCCUUGUCAUUAGUUGCUACGCAAGAGCACUCUAAUGAGACUGCCGGUGACAAACCGGAGGAAGGUGGGGAUGACGUCAAGUCCUCAUGGCCCUUAUGGGUAGGGCUUCACACGUCAUACAAUGGUACAUACAGAGGGCCGCCAACCCGCGACGGGAGCUAAUCCCAGAAAGUGUAUCGUAGUCCGGAUCGCAGUCUGC
This 534-nucleotide ribosomal RNA is filed under the name uncultured bacterium. Its description in RNAcentral is "bacterial SSU rRNA". It matches the Rfam family "Bacterial small subunit ribosomal RNA", at positions 773 to 1308 of the family's 1533-position model. The record is from RNAcentral.